This 511-nucleotide long non-coding RNA is filed under the name Lepisosteus oculatus (spotted gar). RNAcentral describes it as "lncRNA (ENSLOCG00000021003.1)". The record is from RNAcentral. Lineage: Eukaryota; Metazoa; Chordata; Actinopteri; Semionotiformes; Lepisosteidae.
AUGUCCCAGAAUCCUCCACGGAAGGCUCGAGGACCUGCCUCACGUGCUGUCGCAGGCAAGCGCCGAGUGCUGGGGGGGAGGGGAAGCGGUGGAAGGGGGAGGGGGCGGGGACCGCGUUUUAACCGCUACGACUUUCUUUCUCGAAGACACAUCACACUAUUCAGCGUGCGAGCAUUUUAUCGUCCUUUGUGUGGGUGCGGCUGUGCCGGAGAAAGAGCGAGAUUCGUUCCGGCGGCAGUGAAACACCAGGGACGGGCUGCUUGGCUGCCUGGUUUCUGUGAAACACGUCUUUGUCGGGGAAAGUGUGCUGGUGCUCUCAAGGCCAGAGGAGGCUGGGGGGGGAGUUGUUGUAGAGGUGAGAGGGGCUAGAGCGAUCGUCGGGCGGCCGAUGAGGUCCAUGCGCAGUGCCGCCGGCGUCGCCCCGGGGCCCAGCAGGAGAUGAUCGAGAUGUCGGUGGACAAGGAGCCGGCCGGGCCGGGCGCCAGAGGGCCCCAGGACCAGCCCCAGCCCC